UUUCCGUAGGUGAACCUGCGGAAGGAUCAUUAUUGAAUGAAACACUUCUGGCUUUAUGCUGUUGUGCUGGCCCUUUGGGCAAUAUGCACACGGCUCUGGUCACUUGUUUCUUCUGUUCCACCUGUGCACUGCCUGUAGACACGCUGUGUCUAUGAUAUUUGUUAACACACAACAAUGUUAGUUGGCAUGUUAUAUAUAAUAAUAAAAUAUACAACUUUCAACAACGGAUCUCUUGGCUCUC
Molecule: unclassified non-coding RNA, 241 nt
Filed under: plant metagenome
Description: partial contains small subunit ribosomal RNA, internal transcribed spacer 1, and 5.8S ribosomal RNA
Source: RNAcentral